UACGGAGGGUGCAAGCGUUAUCCGGAUUCACUGGGUUUAAAGGGUGCGUAGGCGGGCAGGUAAGUCAGUGGUGAAAUCUCCGAGCUUAACUCGGAACUGCCGUUGAUACUAUUUGUCUUGAAUAUUGUGGAGGUAAGCGGAAUAUGUCAUGUAGCGGUGAAAUGCUUAGAUAUGACAUAGAAUACCAAUUGCGAAGGCAGCUUACUACACAACGAUUGACGCUGAGGCACGAAAGCGUGGGGAGCGAACAGG
RNAcentral lists this ribosomal RNA (252 nucleotides) under uncultured bacterium. Its description in RNAcentral is "partial 16S ribosomal RNA". It matches the Rfam family "Bacterial small subunit ribosomal RNA", at positions 524 to 776 of the family's 1533-position model. The record is from RNAcentral.